Molecule: ribosomal RNA, 403 nt
Filed under: uncultured bacterium
Lineage: Bacteria
Description: partial 16S ribosomal RNA
Rfam family: Bacterial small subunit ribosomal RNA
Source: RNAcentral
GACGAACGCUGGCGGCGUGCCUAAUACAUGCAAGUCGAACGCAGUGGGGACGGGUGAGUAACACGUGGGUAACCUCCCAUCAGAGGGGAUAACACUUGGAAACAGGUGCUAAACCGAUACUGAUGGAUGGACUCGCGGUGCAUUAGCUAGUUGGUGAGGUAACGGCUCACCAAGGCCACGAUGCAUAGCCGACCGGAGAGGGUGUUCGGCCACUGUGUGGGUGAGACACGGACCGGACUCCUGCUGGAGGCAGCAGUAGUGAAUCUUCGGCAAUGGACGAGAGUCUGACCGAGCAACGCCGCGUGAGGAAAGAAGGUUUUCGGGUCGUAAAACUCUGUUGUUAGAGAAGCGGUGUCUAACCAUAAAGCCACGGCUAACUACAUGCCAGCAGCCGCGGUAAUAC